AUACUUUAUUGCACAAAUAUGAGAUAUAAGUGUACAAAAGGUGGACUUAAUGCUAAAAGCAUUUUCUACCAGCCAACCUACAGGAGGUACAUGAUAUAUCUCAUAUGAAGUUAAUACUUUUCAGAAAGCUGAUUCUCAAAUAUGCGUCGAAAAACAAAAACCAGUUGGGCUGAAUCUUCAAAGAACCAAAAUUAAGAAAACACGAAAUAAUAUUUUUUAGACCAAAGAGUUACUGUAACGCCCCCCACAUCGCAUAGCCGCCAAAAGUGCAUUCCUGCAGCGUGCAUCGCCUCAACCUGAAUGAUGAAGAAUCUUCUAAAACCACGAGCAAUGUAAACUCAUGAAAUAUCACACCUACAACAAGUUAGAAAAGCAUAAUGAAGCACAAUCCAGAAAAAAGUUAAAAUGUCCUAAAUAAAUACUAUUUAAUGAUCAAAAAA
This is a long non-coding RNA of Plutella xylostella (diamondback moth), 440 nucleotides long. RefSeq lists it as uncharacterized. NCBI's taxonomy places the organism in Eukaryota, Metazoa, Arthropoda, Insecta, Lepidoptera, Plutellidae. The record is from RefSeq and is a predicted model, not a curated record.